Molecule: ribosomal RNA, 1372 nt
Filed under: uncultured bacterium
Lineage: Bacteria
Description: bacterial SSU rRNA
Rfam family: Bacterial small subunit ribosomal RNA
Source: RNAcentral
GAUGAACGCUGGCGGCGUGCCUAAUACAUGCAAGUCGAGCGAACGGACGAGAAGCUUGCUUCUCUGAUGUUAGCGGCGGACGGGUGAGUAACACGUGGAUAACCUACCUAUAAGACUGGGAUAACUUCGGGAAACCGGAGCUAAUACCGGAUAAUAUUUUGAACCGCAUGGUUCAAAAGUGAAAGACGGUCUUGCUGUCACUUAUAGAUGGACCCGCGCUGCAUUAGCUAGUUGGUAAGGUAACGGCUUACCAAGGCAACGAUGCAUAGCCGACCUGAGAGGGUGAUCGGCCACACUGGAACUGAGACACGGUCCAGACUCCUACGGGAGGCAGCAGUAGGGAAUCUUCCGCAAUGGGCGAAAGCCUGACGGAGCAACGCCGCGUGAGUGAUGAAGGUCUUCGGAUCGUAAAACUCUGUUAUUAGGGAAGAACAUAUGUGUAAGUAACUGUGCACAUCUUGACGGUACCUAAUCAGAAAGCCACGGCUAACUACGUGCCAGCAGCCGCGGUAAUACGUAGGUGGCAAGCGUUAUCCGGAAUUAUUGGGCGUAAAGCGCGCGUAGGCGGUUUUUUAAGUCUGAUGUGAAAGCCCACGGCUCAACCGUGGAGGGUCAUUGGAAACUGGAAAACUUGAGUGCAGAAGAGGAAAGUGGAAUUCCAUGUGUAGCGGUGAAAUGCGCAGAGAUAUGGAGGAACACCAGUGGCGAAGGCGACUUUCUGGUCUGUAACUGACGCUGAUGUGCGAAAGCGUGGGGAUCAAACAGGAUUAGAUACCCUGGUAGUCCACGCCGUAAACGAUGAGUGCUAAGUGUUAGGGGGUUUCCGCCCCUUAGUGCUGCAGCUAACGCAUUAAGCACUCCGCCUGGGGAGUACGACCGCAAGGUUGAAACUCAAAGGAAUUGACGGGGACCCGCACAAGCGGUGGAGCAUGUGGUUUAAUUCGAAGCAACGCGAAGAACCUUACCAAAUCUUGACAUCCUUUGACAACUCUAGAGAUAGAGCCUUCCCCUUCGGGGGACAAAGUGACAGGUGGUGCAUGGUUGUCGUCAGCUCGUGUCGUGAGAUGUUGGGUUAAGUCCCGCAACGAGCGCAACCCUUAAGCUUAGUUGCCAUCAUUAAGUUGGGCACUCUAAGUUGACUGCCGGUGACAAACCGGAGGAAGGUGGGGAUGACGUCAAAUCAUCAUGCCCCUUAUGAUUUGGGCUACACACGUGCUACAAUGGACAAUACAAAGGGCAGCGAAACCGCGAGGUCAAGCAAAUCCCAUAAAGUUGUUCUCAGUUCGGAUUGUAGUCUGCAACUCGACUACAUGAAGCUGGAAUCGCUAGUAAUCGUAGAUCAGCAUGCUACGGUGAAUACAAACGCGGGUCU